UCUCACUCCCCUCCUGGAGUGGGACACACCUCUUCACUACAUUUCCUUAGUUCUUGUCCCCUCCACCAACGAAAAGCAAGAGGCAUUGACUUGAAGCUGCUUGGUUUCUGCUCUGCGAAAUCCAGGAGGAUUGAUAUUCUCCAACGCAGAGCGGAUCGAUGCACGUAAUUCUUGCAGAUUUCCUUUGGCUUUGCGCCGUGAGGGAGGGAGACAGUUGGAAACGUCGUGAUUUUGAGAGGAAGCCGGUGUUUCCUGAAGCCUUUGUUUUGGGUGCGCCUUAACCGCACCUGCGUUUCUUGCAGCUUCUUACAAAGAAACUUCUUUUUUUUUUUUUGAGAGUCAAAAUAGUUGAACUGAAGUUAUUUUCAACCGGAGGGAAAUGUUUGAAAGCUCAGCCUUUGUGAGCCCAAAGAGCAUUGUUUCAUCGACAGUGAUUGAAACAGUCAUUUCCUUUGGGAAGUCUUUGCCAUUGAAGCAAACUUUGAUUUUGGAAGCAAAAGUUUUGGCUUUAAAGAUGGGAUCCAAGUGUUACACCUUCUUCUCAUAGCUCCCCGGCCAUUUAUCGGAGUGCUGUGAUAGUAAGGUUGUUUGCAUUUGAACAGAAAGACCUGCUCUGGCCAGCUGGGCUGAUGCUAAGAGGCAGUAUAGUUCAGUGGUGAGGAGCACAUCCCUUACAGCUGGGCUGCCUGGGUUUGCCUCACUCUGCCACUUGCAAGCUGGAAUCUUCGGCAAAUUACAUAACUGUCCUGAACUUCAGUUUCUGCCUUUAUAAAAUGGGGAUGAAGAUAGUAUUUAUUUCCUAUGAUUUUUUAUAAUUAUUAAUUAACAUA
Molecule: long non-coding RNA, 830 nt
Filed under: Equus caballus (horse)
Lineage: Eukaryota; Metazoa; Chordata; Mammalia; Perissodactyla; Equidae
Description: lncRNA (ENSECAG00000059993.1)
Source: RNAcentral